RNAcentral lists this ribosomal RNA (1300 nucleotides) under Salmonella enterica subsp. enterica serovar Tennessee. RNAcentral describes it as "partial 23S ribosomal RNA". It matches the Rfam family "Bacterial large subunit ribosomal RNA", at positions 1 to 1222 of the family's 2925-position model. The record is from RNAcentral. Lineage: Bacteria; Pseudomonadati; Pseudomonadota; Gammaproteobacteria; Enterobacterales; Enterobacteriaceae.
GGGUUGUGAGGUUAAGCGACUAAGCGUACACGGUGGAUGCCCUGGCAGUCAGAGGCGAUGAAGGACGUGCUAAUCUGCGAUAAGCGCCGGUAAGGUGAUAUGAACCGUUAUAACCGGCGAUUUCCGAAUGGGGAAACCCAGUGUGAUUCGUCACACUAUCAUUAACUGAAUCCAUAGGUUAAUGAGGCGAACCGGGGGAACUGAAACAUCUAAGUACCCCGAGGAAAAGAAAUCAACCGAGAUUCCCCCAGUAGCGGCGAGCGAACGGGGAGGAGCCCAGAGCCUGAAUCAGCAUGUGUGUUAGUGGAAGCGUCUGGAAAGGCGCGCGAUACAGGGUGACAGCCCCGUACACAAAAGCGCAUGUGCUGUGAGCUCGAUGAGUAGGGCGGGACACGUGGUAUCCUGUCUGAAUAUGGGGGGACCAUCCUCCAAGGCUAAAUACUCCUGACUGACCGAUAGUGAACCAGUACCGUGAGGGAAAGGCGAAAAGAACCCCGGCGAGGGGAGUGAAAAAGAACCUGAAACCGUGUACGUACAAGCAGUGGGAGCCCCACCACUAAGCCAGUGGUGAACUCCACAUACGCAUCCUUUGCUGAGGAUACGGUUAACGGAGCGAAAGCGACGUUCAACCGCAAAAGAAGCAGAGGGGGCUUAGUGGUGGGGUGACUGCGUACCUUUUGUAUAAUGGGUCAGCGACUUAUAUUCUGUAGCAAGGUUAACCGUAUAGGGGAGCCGUAGGGAAACCGAGUCUUAACCGGGCGUUAAGUUGCAGGGUAUAGACCCGAAACCCGGUGAUCUAGCCAUGGGCAGGUUGAAGGUUGGGUAACACUAACUGGAGGACCGAACCGACUAAUGUUGAAAAAUUAGCGGAUGACUUGUGGCUGGGGGUGAAAGGCCAAUCAAACCGGGAGAUAGCUGGUUCUCCCCGAAAGCUAUUUAGGUAGCGCCUCGUGAAUUCAUCUUCGGGGGUAGAGCACUGUUUCGGCUAGGGGGUCAUCCCGACUUACCAACCCGAUGCAAACUGCGAAUACCGAAGAAUGUUAUCACGGGAGACACACGGCGGGUGCUAACGUCCGUCGUGAAGAGGGAAACAACCCAGACCGCCAGCUAAGGUCCCAAAGUCAUGGUUAAGUGGGAAACGAUGUGGGAAGGCCCAGACAGCCAGGAUGUUGGCUUAGAAGCAGCCAUCAUUUAAAGAAAGCGUAAUAGCUCACUGGUCGAGUCGGCCUGCGCGGAAGAUGUAACGGGGCUAAACCAUGCACCGAAGCUGCGGCAGCGAACGUAUCACUUAAAGCGAUUC